This 474-nucleotide ribosomal RNA is filed under the name uncultured organism. Its description in RNAcentral is "partial 16S ribosomal RNA". It matches the Rfam family "Bacterial small subunit ribosomal RNA", at positions 331 to 797 of the family's 1533-position model. The record is from RNAcentral.
GUACACUCCUACGGGAGGCAGCAGUGGGGAAUAUUGCACAAUGGGCGCAAGCCUGAUGCAGCCAUGCCGCGUGUAUGAAGAAGGCCUUCGGGUUGUAAAGUACUUUCAGCGGGGAGGAAGGCGAUAAGGUUAAUAACCUUGUCGAUUGACGUUACCCGCAGAAGAAGCACCGGCUAACUCCGUGCCAGCAGCCGCGGUAAUACGGAGGGUGCAAGCGUUAAUCGGAAUUACUGGGCGUAAAGCGCACGCAGGCGGUCUGUCAAGUCGGAUGUGAAAUCCCCGGGCUCAACCUGGGAACUGCAUUCGAAACUGGCAGGCUAGAGUCUUGUAGAGGGGGGUAGAAUUCCAGGUGUAGCGGUGAAAUGCGUAGAGAUCUGGAGGAAUACCGGUGGCGAAGGCGGCCCCCUGGACAAAGACUGACGCUCAGGUGCGAAAGCGUGGGGAGCAAACAGGAUUAGAUACCCGAGUAGUCCC